GCAGUAGCCGCGGUAAUACAGAGGGUGCAAGCGUUAAUCGGAAUUACUGGGCGUAAAGCGCGCGUAGGUGGUUUGUUAAGUUGGAUGUGAAAUCCCCGGGCUCAACCUGGGAACUGCAUCCAAAACUGGCAAGCUAGAGUAUGGUAGAGGGUGGUGGAAUUUCCUGUGUAGCGGUGAAAUGCGUAGAUAUAGGAAGGAACACCAGUGGCGAAGGCGACCACCUGGACUGAUACUGACACUGAGGUGCGAAAGCGUGGGGAGCAAACAGGAUUAGAGACCCCUGUAGUCCCUGUCUCUUAUAC
Molecule: ribosomal RNA, 302 nt
Filed under: uncultured bacterium
Lineage: Bacteria
Description: partial 16S ribosomal RNA
Rfam family: Bacterial small subunit ribosomal RNA
Source: RNAcentral